This 463-nucleotide ribosomal RNA is filed under the name uncultured bacterium. Its description in RNAcentral is "partial 16S ribosomal RNA". It matches the Rfam family "Bacterial small subunit ribosomal RNA", at positions 28 to 507 of the family's 1533-position model. The record is from RNAcentral.
GACGAACGCUGGCGGCGUGCUUAACACAUGCAAGUCGAACGGUGAACCUCUUCGGAGGGUGUCAUUGGCGAACGGGUGGGUAACACGUGGGCAACCUGCCCCCGGCUCUGUGAUAACUCCAAGCAAUCUUGGCUAAUACCUGAUGUUCACCGCUUCCCGCCUGGCUUGUUCUGGAAAAGGUUUCCGGCUGGGGCUGGGCCCGCGGCCUAUCAGCUUGUUGGUUGGGUAGUGGCCUACCAAGGCGACGACGGGUAGCCGGCCUGAGAGGGUGACCGGCCACACUGGGACUGAGACACGGCCCAGACUCCUACGGGAGGCAGCAGUGGGGAAUAUUGCGCAAUGGGCGGAAGCCUGACGCAGCGACGCCGCGUGGGGGAUGACGGCCUUCGGGUUGUAAACCUCUUUCAGCAGGGACGAAGCGCAAGUGACGGUACCUGCAGAAGAAGCACCGGCCAACUACGUG